GACGAAGGAUGCAAGCGUUAUCCGGAUUCAUUGGGUUUAAAGGGAGCGUAGGCGGCCCUAUAAGUCAGUGGUGAAAUCUCUCGGCUUAACCGAGAAAUUGCCAUUGAUACUGUAGGGCUUGAGUACAGUUGCCGUUGGCGGAAUAUGACAUGUAGUGGUGAAAUACAUAGAGAUGUCAUAGAACACCGAUUGCGAAGGCAGCUAACGAAACUGUAACUGACGCUGAGGCUCGAAAGUGCGGGGAUCAAACAGG
This 253-nucleotide ribosomal RNA is filed under the name uncultured bacterium. Its description in RNAcentral is "partial 16S ribosomal RNA". It matches the Rfam family "Bacterial small subunit ribosomal RNA", at positions 524 to 776 of the family's 1533-position model. The record is from RNAcentral.